GAUGAACGCUGGCGGCGUGCCUAAUACAUGCAAGUCGAGCGAACAGACGAGGUUCUUGCUCCCCGCGCGUGGCCAGCGGACGGGUGAUGAACAGGAACGUAACCUGCCGAUAGGGCUGGGAUAACGUCGGGCAACUUGAUAUAGUACCGGAUAAGAGAUUGAACCGGAGGGAUCAAUAGUGAAAGAGGGUUUUGCUGUCACGUAUAGAGGUUUCCACGCCGGAUUAGCUAGUUGGUAAGGUAACGGCUUACCAAGGCUACGAUGCGUAGCCGACCUGAGAGGGUGACCGGCCACACUGGAACUGAGACACGGCCCAGACUCCUACGGGAGGCAGCAGUAGGGAAUCUUGCGCAAUGGGGGCAAGCUUGACGCAGCAACGCCGCGUGCGUGAUGAAGGUCUUCGGAUUGUAAACCGCUGUUAUUCGGGAAGAACACCUGUGUACGUAUAUCCCGACGUCUUGACGGUACCUAAUCAGAAAGCAACGGCUAACUACGUG
Molecule: ribosomal RNA, 497 nt
Filed under: uncultured bacterium
Lineage: Bacteria
Description: partial 16S ribosomal RNA
Rfam family: Bacterial small subunit ribosomal RNA
Source: RNAcentral